UACGGGGGGGGCAAGCGUUGUUCGGAAUUACUGGGCGUAAAGGGCUCGUAGGCGGCCAACUAAGUCGGAUGUGAAAUCCCCAGGCUCAACUUGGGAACUGCAUCCGAUACUGGAUGGCUUGAAUUCGGGAGAGGGAUGCAGAAUUCCAGGUGUAGCGGUGAAAUGCGUAGAUAUCGAGAGGAACACCGGUGGCGAAGGCGGCGACCUGGACGAUGACUGACGCUGAGACGCGAAAGCGUGGGGAGCAAACAGG
Molecule: ribosomal RNA, 253 nt
Filed under: uncultured bacterium
Lineage: Bacteria
Description: partial 16S ribosomal RNA
Rfam family: Bacterial small subunit ribosomal RNA
Source: RNAcentral